RNAcentral lists this ribosomal RNA (404 nucleotides) under Fusobacteriota bacterium. Its description in RNAcentral is "Fusobacteria bacterium partial 16S ribosomal RNA". It matches the Rfam family "Bacterial small subunit ribosomal RNA", at positions 355 to 776 of the family's 1533-position model. Lineage: Bacteria; Fusobacteriati; Fusobacteriota. The record is from RNAcentral.
UGGGGAAUAUUGCACAAUGGAGGGAACUCUGAUGCAGCGACGCCGCGUGAGUGAUGAAGGAAUUCGUUUCGUAAAACUCUGUUCUAUGGGAAGAAAAGGACUGCACCAUAGGAGAAAGCUCCGGCUAAAUACGUGCCAGCAGCCGCGGUAAUACGUAUGGAGCGAGCGUUGUCCGGAAUUAUUGGGCGUAAAGGGUGCGCAGGCGGCUUUACAAGUUGGAUGUGAAAUAUUGUGGCUCAACCACAAACGUGCAUCCAAAACUGCAAAGCUUGAGUUAAGGAGAGGUAAGUGGAAUUCCUGGUGUAGCGGUGGAAUGCGUAGAUAUCAGGAGGAAUACCGGUGGCGAAGGCGACUUACUGGACUUAAACUGACGCUCAGGCACGAAAGCGUGGGGAGCAAACAGG